UUUAAUUGUUUUUAGGAGAGCUUGAAUAUUACUUUAAACACUAUAAAAAGAUCAAUUCAUAUUCUAUUUUCUUACAUGCAAAGAAGAAAAAAUAUGACUGAAGUUCUCAAAUUUAUUUAUGCUAUGAUUCUAUUUCUUUUGUUCCUUGUCGCAAUAAAAGUUGGUGGUGAACAUAUUUUCUGUGCAAGUGAUGCUGAUUGUACAAACAUUUGGAAUGAGUAUUAUAUUCAUAAGUGUGUUGAUCACGAAUGUAAGUGGGUGUGGAAAUGGGAUUUAGAGCCAUAAUUUUGUAAGAUGGUUAGUUAUUGUAACGGUACCUAAUAAUUUUUUUUCUUUUUCCAAUUUUGUGAACCUUGCAUUUAUGAUAUUGUAUUUUAAGA
Trifolium pratense (red clover) is the source of this 380-nucleotide long non-coding RNA. RefSeq lists it as uncharacterized. The record is from RefSeq and is a predicted model, not a curated record. The transcript is spliced from 2 exons. Lineage: Eukaryota; Viridiplantae; Streptophyta; Magnoliopsida; Fabales; Fabaceae.